RNAcentral lists this ribosomal RNA (162 nucleotides) under Ptyssiglottis pubisepala. Its description in RNAcentral is "5.8S ribosomal RNA". The stretch from base 1 to 79 matches the Rfam family "5.8S ribosomal RNA", at positions 78 to 154 of the family's 154-position model. Lineage: Eukaryota; Viridiplantae; Streptophyta; Magnoliopsida; Lamiales; Acanthaceae. The record is from RNAcentral.
GAUCCCGUGAACCAUCGAGUCUUUGAACGCAAGUUGCGCCCGAAGCCUUCGGGCCGAGGGCACGCCUGCCUGGGCGUCACGCAUCGCGUCGCCCCCUCCCCUGCUCCCCGGAGCGGGGGGCGGAGACUGGCCUCCCGUGCGCCCCCGUCGCGCGGCCGGCCC